GAUGAAGAACGUAGUGAAAUGCGAUACGUAAUGUGAAUUGCAAAUUCAGUGAAUCAUCGAGUCUUUGAACGCACAUUGCGCCCCCUGGUAUUCCGGGGGGCAUGCCUGUCCGAGCGUCAUUGCUGCCCUCAAGCACGGCUUGUGUGUUGGGCCCCGUCCUCCGAUCCCGGGGGACGGGCCCGAAAGGCAGCGGCGGCACCGCGUCCGGUCCUCGAGCGUAUGGGGCUUUGUCACCCGCUCUGUAGGCCCGGCCGGCGCUUGCCGAUCAACCCAAAUUUUAUCCAGGUUGACCUCGGAUCAGGUAGGGAUACCCGCUGAACUUAAGCAUAUCAAUAAGCGGAGGA
Molecule: unclassified non-coding RNA, 344 nt
Filed under: soil metagenome
Description: partial contains 5.8S ribosomal RNA, internal transcribed spacer 2, and large subunit ribosomal RNA
Rfam family: 5.8S ribosomal RNA (bases 1-119)
Source: RNAcentral